This 86-nucleotide transfer RNA is filed under the name Candidatus Zhuqueibacterota bacterium. Its description in RNAcentral is "candidate division KSB1 bacterium (marine metagenome) tRNA-Ser". It matches the Rfam family "tRNA". Rfam says of the family: Transfer RNA (tRNA) molecules are approximately 80 nucleotides in length. Their secondary structure includes four short double-helical elements and three loops (D, anti-codon, and T loops). Further hydrogen bonds mediate the characteristic L-shaped molecular structure. tRNAs have two regions of fundamental functional importance: the anti-codon, which is responsible for specific mRNA codon recognition, and the 3' end, to which the tRNAs corresponding amino acid is attached (by aminoacyl-tRNA synthetases). tRNAs cope with the degeneracy of the genetic code in two manners: having more than one tRNA (with a specific anti-codon) for a particular amino acid; and 'wobble' base-pairing, i.e. permitting non-standard base-pairing at the 3rd anti-codon position. Lineage: Bacteria; Pseudomonadati. The record is from RNAcentral.
GGAAGGUUGCCCGAGCCUGGUAAGGGGACAGUUUGCUAAAUUGUUGCCGGGGAAAACCCGCGGGGGUUCAAAUCCCUCACCUUCCG